CGAACCUUGCAAACGUUAUUCGGAAUCACUGGGCUUAAAGGGUGCGUAGGCUGUGCAGAAAGUUGGGUGUGAAAUACCUCGGCUUAACCGAGGAAUUGCGCCCAAAACUACUGUGCUCGAGGAAGAUAGAGGUGAGCGGAACUUAGGGUGGAGCGGUGAAAUGCGUUGAUAUCCUAAGGAACACCGGUGGCGAAAGCGGCUCACUGGAUCUUAUCUGACGCUGAGGCACGAAAGCCAGGGUAGCGAACGGG
Molecule: ribosomal RNA, 251 nt
Filed under: uncultured bacterium
Lineage: Bacteria
Description: partial 16S ribosomal RNA
Rfam family: Bacterial small subunit ribosomal RNA
Source: RNAcentral